GACGUAGGGCGCGAGCGUUGUCCGGAUUUAUUGGGCGUAAAGAGCUCGUAGGCGGCUUGUUGCGUCGACUGUGAAAACCCGCGGCUUAACCGCGGGCUUGCAGUUGAUACGGGCAGGCUAGAGUUCGGUAGGGGAGACUGGAAUUCCUGGUGUAGCGGUGAAAUGCGCAGAUAUCAGGAGGAACACCGGUGGCGAAGGCGGGUCUCUGGGCCGUUACUGACGCUGAGGAGCGAAAGCGUGGGGAGCGAACAGG
This 253-nucleotide ribosomal RNA is filed under the name uncultured bacterium. RNAcentral describes it as "partial 16S ribosomal RNA". It matches the Rfam family "Bacterial small subunit ribosomal RNA", at positions 524 to 776 of the family's 1533-position model. The record is from RNAcentral.